CCCUUAGAUGUUCUGGGCUGCACGCGUGCUACACUGAUAUUGCCAAUAUGUCAUUCUUAUCCGAAAUGGAUUGGGUAAUCAAGUAAUGAAAUUUCAUGCUUGGAAUCGGUAAUUGCAAUUUUAUCGUGAACGAGGAAUUCCUAGUAAGCACUAGUCAUCAGCUAAUGUUGAUUAUGUCCCUGCCCUUUGUACACACCGCCCGUCGCUACUACUGAUUGGGUGUUCUAGUGAGAUGCUUAGACCCUUGUUGCAUGGUUCAUUAUUGUGCUCCGAAAGGAAAAAGUUUCAAGCUUGAGUGUCUAGAGGAAGUAAAAGUCGUAACA
Molecule: ribosomal RNA, 323 nt
Filed under: uncultured eukaryote
Lineage: Eukaryota
Description: partial 18S ribosomal RNA
Rfam family: Eukaryotic small subunit ribosomal RNA
Source: RNAcentral